This is a long non-coding RNA of Drosophila subobscura, 671 nucleotides long. RefSeq lists it as uncharacterized. The transcript is spliced from 3 exons. The record is from RefSeq and is a predicted model, not a curated record. Lineage: Eukaryota; Metazoa; Arthropoda; Insecta; Diptera; Drosophilidae.
AAGCUAUAACGGUACACAAGUUGCUGUCGGAAAACGGAACAAAACGCGAGCGUCCCAAGUGGAAAUGUAGCCCAAUCCGUUCGUUCGCUUCGGGGUAUCCAUCUAAAGCGGCCCUCGCACGUACAAACACACACACCACACACACACACGCAGAGGAGCCGCGCUGUGUCUUCGUAUCACUAAAGCUACAGCCAAAGUGGAGACGGCGUGUCUGGCCCUCAUUAGACGAAGACUGGCUGACUGGCCCAAUCGAAAUCGGAAUAAAAUAAAACCAAACCAAACAGAAACAGAAAAAAGAUAAAGAAAAAGAGAAUAAAAUAAAACCAGUGGAUCCAUUAAGGCAGAACAAGAUGGAAUAUUGAAUGGAAUCAUUUUGCUAUAUGCACAUACAUUAGCAGCCAAAGGACAACCCAAUCAGCCUCGUCUCAUCCUCCACCACUGGCGGCUGGUCGUGCUGGUGCACGGGGCGGCCAUCUCGACUCUGGGCAACAUGGAUGAAAAUGCGAUAAGCACUUGAUAAAUAUGUGCAGAGACAGAGACAGACACAGAGACAGAGACGAGCGACAACUUUCAGUAAACAAGAAGAGUGAAGCGCCGCAUCAUAUCAUGCAUCCCGAGGCAACGAUCGAUAUAAUGUGCCAGCAGCUCAAGGAGCCACAAUCGUAUCCACA